RNAcentral lists this unclassified non-coding RNA (291 nucleotides) under uncultured Leotiomycetes. RNAcentral describes it as "sequence contains ITS1". The stretch from base 1 to 105 matches the Rfam family "5.8S ribosomal RNA", at positions 50 to 154 of the family's 154-position model. The record is from RNAcentral. Lineage: Eukaryota; Fungi; Ascomycota; Leotiomycetes.
GAAAUGCGAUAAGUAAUGUGAAUUGCAGAAUUUAGUGAAUCAUCGAAUCUUUGAACGCACAUUGCGCCCCUUGGUAUUCCGGGGGGCAUGCCUGUUCGAGCGUCAUUUCAACCCCUCAGGCCGGUGCCUGCUGUUGGGGCAUGCUACCUCAGCAGCCCUUAAAACUAGUGGCGGUGCCCUGUGGCUCUAAGCGUAGUAAUACUUCCGCUACAGUGCCUACAGGGUUACCUGCCAGCAACCCCAAAUUCUAUGGUUGACCUCGGAUCAGGUAGGGAUACCCGCUGAACUUAA